UGAGUAAAUUAUACAAUCGCAUGCCUAGCAUGAGGAAAGUCCGAGCUCCAUAGAGCAGGGUGCCGGGUAACCCCCGGUGAGGGUGACCUCAAGGACAGUGCAACAGAAAGAAACCGCCCCGCACCCAAGGUGCGAGGUAAGGAUGGAAAGGUGAGGUAAGAGCUCACCGGCAAUCAGGCGACUGGUUGGCCAUGUAAACCCCACCCGGAGCAAGACCAAAAAAGGACCUUGGAGUGGCUGCUCGUCACGGUCCAAAUGGUAGGUCGCUUGAGUCUGCCGGCAACGGCAAACCUAGAUAGAUGAUUGUUUAAUACAGAACUCGGCUUAUGUAUUUACUCACCAA
RNAcentral lists this RNase P RNA (343 nucleotides) under Bacillota bacterium. RNAcentral's name for it is "RNase P RNA component class A". It matches the Rfam family "Bacterial RNase P class A". From Rfam's summary of the family: Ribonuclease P (RNase P) is a ubiquitous endoribonuclease, found in archaea, bacteria and eukarya as well as chloroplasts and mitochondria. Its best characterised activity is the generation of mature 5'-ends of tRNAs by cleaving the 5'-leader elements of precursor-tRNAs. Lineage: Bacteria; Bacillati; Bacillota. The record is from RNAcentral. RNAcentral also lists the same sequence under 2 other names.